UCCUUGUUAUCAUCAAUAUAAAUUUGUUUUAUUUUUACUCUAAAGUAUUUAUAAGAUAAAGACUAUAUAAAUAUCAAUUUAUGUUUUACAUUCUUCGAUAUCAAAUUUAGUCCUCACAGAUGACGCUCGGUUGUUGAUUGCUGAUCUGCUGAUUUAUCGAUCACCUUUGAAGGUUGGACAAACGAUAAUGCUCCCGGUACACAGGAUUUUGCGAUACAAUCUUCCUUUUUCGCAGGGUCCUGCAGAUUCGUACACAUAGAACACAUCACGUUUGUCAAUACACUAAUGAUAACCCUUGAUUUGUCAUCGGGUAAUCCUUUAACGAGUUUGA
This 331-nucleotide long non-coding RNA is filed under the name Mytilus galloprovincialis (Mediterranean mussel). Lineage: Eukaryota; Metazoa; Mollusca; Bivalvia; Mytilida; Mytilidae. The record is from RNAcentral.